GCAUAUCAAUAAGCGGAGGAAAAGAAACCAACUGGGAUUGCCUUAGUAACGGCGAGUGAAGCGGCAAUAGCUCAAAUUUGAAAGCUGGCCCCUUUGGGGUCCGCGUUGUAAUUUGUAGAGGAUGAUUCGGCGAGGGCUCCCGUCUAAGUCCCCUGGAACGGGGCGUCAUAGAGGGUGAGAAUCCCGUAUGUGAUGGGUUGCCUUAGCCAUGUGAAUCUCCUUCGACGAGUCGAGUUGUUUGGGAAUGCAGCUCUAAAUGGGAGGUAAAUUUCUUCUAAAGCUAAAUACCGGCCAGAGACCGAUAGCGCACAAGUAGAGUGAUCGAAAGAUGAAAAGCACUUUGGAAAGAGAGUUAAAAAGUACGUGAAAUUGUUGAAAGGGAAGCGCUUGCAGCCAGACUUGUCCGCAGUUGCUCAGCCGGUCUCCUGACCGGCGUACUCUUCUGCGGCCAGGCCAGCAUCAGUUCGGGCGGUCGGAUAAAGACCUCGGGAAUGUAGCUCCUCUCGGGGAGUGUUAUAGCCCGGGGUGGAAUGCGGCCAGCCUGGACUGAGGAUCUCGCUUCGGCUAGGAUGCUGGCGUAAUGGCUGUAAGCGGCCCGUCUUGAAACACGGACC
RNAcentral lists this ribosomal RNA (614 nucleotides) under Dothiorella sarmentorum. RNAcentral's name for it is "eukaryotic LSU rRNA". It matches the Rfam family "Eukaryotic large subunit ribosomal RNA", at positions 38 to 667 of the family's 3401-position model. The record is from RNAcentral. Lineage: Eukaryota; Fungi; Ascomycota; Dothideomycetes; Botryosphaeriales; Botryosphaeriaceae. RNAcentral also lists the same sequence under 4 other names.